Gossypium raimondii (Peruvian cotton) is the source of this 141-nucleotide non-coding RNA. NCBI's taxonomy places the organism in Eukaryota, Viridiplantae, Streptophyta, Magnoliopsida, Malvales, Malvaceae. The record is from Rfam.
UAUUAAAAAUUUCAUUCAUUUCUACAGUUAAAAACUAGCAUGGCUUACAGACUAAAUACUGACAUGUGAUGUGCCACAUGUACUUUAUGCUGAAAUGCAGGGACCAAUUUUUAACAAUAAAAAUAGAUUAAUUUUUUAACA